This is an RNA transcript of Paramacrobiotus metropolitanus, 4056 nucleotides long. It is a transcript of the gene named voltage-dependent calcium channel subunit alpha-2/delta-2-like, with no coding region annotated. The transcript has 22 exons. The record is from RefSeq and is a predicted model, not a curated record. NCBI's taxonomy places the organism in Eukaryota, Metazoa, Tardigrada, Eutardigrada, Parachela, Macrobiotidae.
UCCAUAUUAAAUCGCCAACACACGGUCUGGCAGUUUAGCACGAUCCACACUCGUCAAGGAGAAACUUUGUCUGCAGCCUCGUUAUCAAACGGCAUUGUCUGACCGGGCUCGAUCUCCAUCCCCCAACGGAGUUGGAACGAUGAUUUAUGGCGGGCGUUAAUAAUGAGAUCGAUACGGGGAAGAAGCUGCCGAUUGGAUUAUAACGUAUUUAACAAGUAAACGCUUAAGUGCCCAUCUCUUAGCCCCGCAUCUCCCCAUCCACCGCCGCCCGAAUUGCGUGACCAAUCAAUUCGCCGUUUCUUUGUUCGGCCGUGGGUCCAAUAUGUAUCCUUUUUAUCCUGAGCGCUCUCUCGUCCGCUCUCUUGUCAGCGUCAUCCAAGCAACUUCAUUUGGCUAAGUAAAUUUCCUGCUGUACAAUACAGGCCAGCAUGCUUGUCUUCGACACCGGAUAGUUCGUCAAUCUGGACCGGCUUUUGUCGGCUAUUCACAACUGGUUCAAUACGCGUGUGUAUAUGUGUGUUCUGCCUGGCGGCCCAUGUUGAUUCGGCUUGUGGCGAUGAUGGACGCCAGAAAAUCCACAAUAAUAUUUCACAAUUAUCCUAAAUGAAAAUGGAUCUCUUAGCGCUGGGAAUUACUAUGAUCAUUAGCUGUGAUGUCACCGCGAUAAGAGCGGCCGGUACCCCCCGUGUGCAGGUUUUGGCUAAUCAGCUGUCUUCAAUCUUCGAAGCCAAGACGUCAUACAGCGUCAUCCGUAAGCGGAUCAAAGAUGCCCGGCUGGAGUACACCGCUGAGCCGGCCCACUGUCAGGAAGUGAAGUCAACACUACACUCCACCCGCGUUCAGAUCGAAGCCCUAUUCAGGCAUCGCGUUAAGGCACUAAAGCGGAUCGUGGACGAGGCUGAACGGUUGUCAGCCGGUGCGCAGUUGAAGUUGCAGGACACCGAGUACUGCUACAGCGGAGUAUCCGUACCGUACAGUUGCAUGGAGAGUGAGUCCGUCCGACUGGAUACGGAUUAUGCCGAUUACAAUCGCGAGAUGUUGUUCCGGUACAAUGCGCUCUUCCGGCGUACGGUUUCGUUCGUGCAGUCCGGCGUGCAGAUUCCUGAUUAUGUGCCACAGAAAGGGAUUCGUCUUAAUCGACAUCUGGAUGUAACACAGCCUCUUGAUCGCAUUUUCCGGGAAAACCGCAAAGAAUCACCUGGCAUUUCGUGGCAGUAUUUGGGCACCGAGAGUGGAAUGUUCCGAAUUUUUCCGGCUUUUUCCUGGACAUCCGACGAGGAAGAUUACUCAGCCUGCAGUACAAAGCGCUUUGACGCACGUCAUCGACCCUGGUACGGCCGGGCGCUUCUUCCGCCGCAAGAUCUCCUCAUUCUGUUAGACGUUUCAGGCUCGGUGUAUGGCCAACCAUUGCGUCUGAUCAAGAGUUUGGCGCAAGCGUUAGUCGAUAGUCUGAAUGAUGAUGACUACGUCGGGAUUGUUGAGGUUGGCGACAAGAUUCAGUGGAGUGUCUCGCUUGUGAAAAAUCGUUUGCUGCUGCAGUUCAACCGCAAUGUGACCUUUAUUCCGUGCACCACCGGAUUCACACUGGCAACAAUGCCGGCCAAAUCUGCACUUAAAGAGGCAAUUAACAUGGUGACACACGGGAAAGUCGGGACCUACGAAGCGGCGUUGAAGUUUGCCUUUGAUGCCUUUGCCGAACACGACCGGUUCAUUAACAUCUCCCGAAGGCAAUUUGGACUGGAUGCGGCGAAGGACGCCCGGGUCAAGGUAAUUGUCAUGUUGUCGGAUGGAUCGACGGAGUUUCCUAAGGAGGUACUGGAUCAACGGGAUCCCAAUGCCACGGUCAGGAUCAUCAGCUUUCAAGUGGGUCUGGAUAUCAAUCCCAAGGGCGGUUUGAUGAAGAUGGCCUGCUCGCAUAACGGAUUGUUUCUUACCGUAUCACUCAAGGAAACCAUACCGCAGAAGAUUCUGCGCUCCAAAUAUCCGUUGUAUGCGGCUCUGAACUGGACUCGCUCGUAUCCGUAUUAUAUCAGCAAUGUUUAUGAAGAUUGCUUGGGUACAGGAGCCGUUGUUUCGCUGUUUAUGGCGGUUCACGACUACGAUACGAUUUCCAAAGAAAACUUCAUGGGGGUGGCCGGCGUGGACAUUCAGAUGGAAGAAAUUUCCGAGCUUCUUGCUAACAAAUCCAAAGUUUUAAGAACCAUCCUCAUUAACAAAUCAGGUUAUGUGCUUUACCAUUCGCAUUUGGAUCGGGUCAACCGUUCCAUGUGGAAUAAUUUCUCCGUUGUUGUGGAUUGGACCACACUGGAGCCUCGCUUGCCUGAACUAGAAAAGAUCAAGCGUCAGGUUUAUCGUUGGCAAUCCGGUCAUAUCCAUACGGUUUUCUGGGAACGCUCCAACGACCCACGACGGCUGCGUCCAGUACCGGUGACCUAUGUUUUUGAAUUAGUCGUCGAUGAUAAGCUGAUGCUGAUACACGUGCAUGCGAAGAAAUAUGGUCAGCCAUGCGCUACAAAACCAAUGGGACGUGCGGAAAAAUGCGAAACGUAUUGCGCCAAGUUGAAUGUCCUUAUUCAGAAAUCCGUUACUGAAUAUAAGCGUCCAUGGCUAGUCUGUUGUGGAACUGUUUACUGGCUGCAAAGAUUGCAUAAUUUUACUGUGGAAGAUGUACAUUACACUGCUCUUUAUCGGCCGGAUGAAAUCCAGUUUCAGCCAAUUCCGACCCAAAUGUACAACGAGAUUGUGGGAUACGAUAUGCUCAUGUACCGUUUGCUCCUUCAGCAUCCUUACCCCGCUGUGAUCGGCACAUUCACCGAUAAGGGUACCAUACUCUCCGCAAUGGAACUAGACCAUGAAAGACGCCCAACUCUGAUAAUGGAUGAUUCGGGCACAAUAUACGCUGACUACCGCAAUGGGUCUAACGCCACGGAAUCGUUCUCUCAUGUAUCCGAUUCACACGAUUACCUAUGGGAUCAUUUUGUGGAGAAGGGAGUUCUCGAAAGUGAAAUGUUUGCGGUUCCGGCUUUUAACUGUUCGAUUACUUCUGGAGUCAGCAGAUCAGUGCCUUUCUUAAACGUUCGCCUACAUUCCGAUGUGGUAUAUGUUUUCGAGUAUUUAAGGUUGUUUUGGACUAUUUUCGGUCAGUUCAGUGCCUUAAUUGGUUUAAUGAUCCUAUGGAUUCUUCCAAUGACAGUAUUCGCGUUAAAAGCCGACGAAUAUCGAAAGCUCACAAGUAACUUGUGCACCAAGAAGGAAAUGCUUUCGUACUGGAGGAAAGGGGCGGUUGCGUCAUACGGGAGCGUCAAAUGCAGCAGUUCAAUACGUGAAUUCGGGUUAAAUAAAAUCUCGGGAACCAAUUUGCUAAUGCUAACAGCUGCGCAAUACGACAACCCAGACGACAACUUCCGGAAAGAUCCAAUACGAAUUGCUACGACUGCCGACAAGUGCCCGAAUCAGGACAGUAUUAAACAUACAUGGAAACCGAUGGCUUCAGAAUAUUUUCCCCCGAGUGUGUUCGACUACAUGUCGACGGAAGAUUGUGCCUAUGCCAAGGAUAAUGGUUGCCACGACACCUGAAAGACACAUGAAAGCACUGAAGCGCCUUCUCCUCAUGAGCCUUUUCGAAAUCGGAUUUGGCAUCAUGUGUCUUAUGGGACUAUGCGUGUAUUUCUUCCUAGUACCUCCCUGGAAUCCCGAAGGCGAUGUUGGCCCCAAACCAAGCACCAUUCACCUUCCCGUUAUAAUUCUAUCAAUCGAAAGUGCUCUCCUAUUUGCGACAGCUGCUUAUGGACUGUACACCAGGCAUCGAGCCAACAACCAGACAGCAACUGUUGGAAUGUUCUUCGGCUUGCUCGGCCUUAAUCAUUUCUUGUGCUUGUUAUACAGUGCCGCACUGACAGCUUGUGUAGGAUAUUAUCUUGACCUCUGGAUCCUGACUUCCGAUGCAAUAAUGGGCGUGCUGUUAUUGGUCGCAGUGUCUAGCGUUGGAUCGAAAAUUGGAAUAACGCUGACGGCUGCUCUCCAGUGUCAGCUGUAUAUAAGUAUCCUUAAGGGAAA